CUCGAAGUGGCGGCCGAUUUCGAGCCCCCCACCCCCCACCCGCUUCCCCGCACCCGCGCUAACGCCCCGCCGCCCCCUCCUCCCCGCUGUGUGUCCGAGCAGAGCAGAAGAGCUGCAAGGAGGACAAGGAGCUGCGGUUCAGCGACCUGGACGACCUGGAGGAGGAGGAGGAGGAGGAGGAGGCGGGGAAGCCGGAGAAGGGCCGGGCCAGCUCCCUGCAGGAAGCCCCCGGCCUCGGCGCGGCGCUGCCCGAGGCUCGGCGGAGCGACUGCAGCCUGCCCGGCCCCUUCCGCGCCUUUCCCUGCGCCAAGGCCCCCGCCGCGGACUUCGCCCCGGCCGGCCCGCCGCCGCCCUACGCGCCCGCGGAGAAGCCGCGCAUCUGGUCGCUGGCGCGCACCGCCGGGGCCAGCGCGGCGCGCAGGGGCAGCCCCGAGGGCCGCGGCGCGGAGGGAGGCGGCGGCGCGGCGGGGGAGCAGCCCCUGCCCGCCAAGGCUUUCCGGAGCUCCGCGUUCAACCUGCAGCCGCUCCCGCGAAGCUGCGCGUCCCACCGCGGCCUGGGGGAGCCGUGCCAGUACGCGGCGGCGGGCGAAGGCUUCGGGCGGGGCGGCAAGGGCGGCCCGGGAGGCGCCGAGCUGGGCGGGACCUGCCUGGACCGGCUGCGGACGGCGUUCCGGCCGGUGCUGCGGAGGUGAGGGCCGCCCGCCCCUUCCCAAGCGCUGGCGACGGGGCUCCGGCUGCAGCGAGGCUCUCGGCUUGAAACAACGAAAGGAAGCUCUCCCCAGCCCGGCGAGGAGCUGCCCGCCCCGCCGGCCCGGCCCGCGGCCCUGCCGGCCUUGCCCUCGCCGGGGAGCGGCCCGCCGCGGCGCAGCGUGCUGCUCACAUGGGGCCGAGGCGCGGACCGGCGCCCCCCGGCCACCUGCUCGCCGCUCGUUCAACACCCGUGAUCGACGUCUUUGCCAAAAAAAAACACCAACCCACCAACAAAAAGCAAACAAGAAAGACUAAUCUUUCUCUGACCUCCCCCCCCCCGACGUGGUUUGUUUUCCCCUUCCCUGCCGCCCCUGUCCCCCGCUCCGCCGAGGUGCGGCCGCUCCGCGCCGUGCCCGGGAGGCGGCGGGAGGCGGCGCAGGUUACGCCGGGCCGUUGUACUUCCCGUCGCUGUACACAGAUACCGCUGACAGUAUUUUUCCGAGUCUGUAAUUAAGACGGAUGAGCUGACCGCCGCGAGGCCGUCCCGUGACCCAUGGAGCUCUGCAGCCCCGAGCCGGAGCGGCCCCCGGCCCCGGGCACCCGCCGCCCGCCCCGGGGCACGGCCGGGGCACCCCCGGGCAGCGGGUGGCAACCGGGCGGCGAAGUAGGACGUUGUUAGUGGGUCACCGCCGUCAGUCAGUGAAAAGAGCAGCGCUGCACUUUACAGGACAGACAAGAAAGGGAAACCGUAUCUCUGCAUUAUUUCUGUUUAAUUAAAAGUGUCAUCAAACACUUUGUGUUGAGACUAAUAAACCAAGCAGGGAUGAGGAAAGAAUGUUUCUUUGUUCCUGUCUCUAGAACCAGUGGCAAUAAUUUAAAUUAAUAACUGUGGUAAUUAAGAGGUCAUCUAUAGAUCAACCCGAUACCUGCUAUUUCCAAGUUCACCGGGGUCAACAUUUACAUUAAGUCAUUUGUGGUCAAUAGAGUCCAAUGAAUUCUGCCUUAAUAAAUCAGGGAAAUCAAUCUUGAAUAUCUAGUAGGCUUCUAUAUGUUUACCAAAGGCCACCACGACAAGUGGGGCUGCAGAGCUGGGAGCCCUCUGGCUUUGCGAGCGGAGAAGCAGCUCGUAGGGGAAAGGAGAAGCUGCAGGUCAAGGCGGGGAGGUGGCGGGGGCUGCCCCCGGCCCCGGCCCGGCUGCGCGAAGGGGCGCGGAGAGGCCCCCGGGCUGCGGGGGCACCUGGCAAAGGAGGGGAACUUCGCCGGGCUUCCCAGGGACCCGGGUGGGGGAGUGUGUGUGGGGGGU
Molecule: long non-coding RNA, 1993 nt
Filed under: Falco tinnunculus (common kestrel)
Lineage: Eukaryota; Metazoa; Chordata; Aves; Falconiformes; Falconidae
Description: lncRNA (ENSFTIG00000005374.1)
Source: RNAcentral